GGCCUAGGAGACCAGCGUUCAACUCUCUGCUCAGUCAGGAAGCUCACUGGAUGACCUUGGGCCAGCCAUUGACUCUCAGCCUAACCUACCUCACAGGGUUGUUGUUGUGAAUAUUAAAUUGGGAGGGGGAGAACCAGACAAGCAAGAGGCACUAGUAGAGUUCGUUGACACAUUCCAGCCACAUGGCUGGAGGAUCUCAUUUGGCUCCUGGACGUGAGGCUCUACACUCCAGUAUUACAGGAUGUAGCUGCCAUUAUAUUGUAUUAGAAGACUACUUGCAAACAAACAAUUUCUAAGCCCCUGGAUAUUUUGAGGUGAGCCAGUGCUAAAACAAAGCAGCAGCCAUGGGAA
Long non-coding RNA from Rhineura floridana, 351 nucleotides. RefSeq lists it as uncharacterized. The record is from RefSeq and is a predicted model, not a curated record. NCBI's taxonomy places the organism in Eukaryota, Metazoa, Chordata, Lepidosauria, Squamata, Rhineuridae. The transcript has 3 exons.